Molecule: ribosomal RNA, 1916 nt
Filed under: Entamoeba sp.
Lineage: Eukaryota; Evosea; Mastigamoebida; Endamoebidae
Description: partial small subunit ribosomal RNA
Rfam family: Eukaryotic small subunit ribosomal RNA
Source: RNAcentral
ACCUGGUUGAUCCUGCCAGUAUUAUAUGCUGAUGUUAAAGAUUAAGCCAUGCAUGUGUAAGUUUAAAGACCAAGUAGGAUGAAACUGCGGACGGCUCAUUAUAACAGUAAUAGUUUCUUUGGUUAGUAGGUACAAGGAUAACUUUGUGAAUGAUAAAGCUAAUACUUGAGACGAUCUGGGGAGUACUUGUACUUUCCGGCCGGUGGUCGCAAGGCUGCCGAAAAAUGACAUUCUCUUGUGAAAAAGGAUGCCACGACAAUUGAAGAAGGCGACGCUUUUUACAAGUAACCAAUGGGAAUUUCUGAUCUAUCAAUUCGUUGGUAGUAUCGAGGACUACCAAGAUUAUAACGGAUAACGAGGAAUUGGGGUUCGACAUCGGAGAGGGAGCUUUACAGAUGGCUACCACUUCUAAGGAAGGCAGCAGGCGCGUAAAUUACCCACUUUCGACAUGAAGAGGUAGUGACGACAAUUAACUCUUGGGGCUUUUGAGCUUCUUGAAGGAAUGAUUAAGAAUCAAAUUCUCUUAAGAAAUCAAUUGGAGGGCAAGUCUGGUGCCAGCAGCCGCGGUAAUUCCAGCUCCAAUAGUGUAUAUUAAAGUUGCUGUGAUUAAAACGCUCGUAGUUGAAUUAUAAAGCAUCCAGUGGGCGAAUCUUUGCUUGCAAAGGGGAAGUUUCACAAUAUAAAGGUGCGGAGGCGAUGCUUCUUCGGAAGUGUCAUUACUUUGAAAAAAAUAGGGUGUUUAAAGCAAAUCUUAUGUUAAUGAAUAAUGAAGCAUGGGACAAUAUCGAGGGGAUCCUUCGGGAUUUCGAGAUAAGGAUUAAGAGGAACAAUUGGGGUGAUUCAGAAAAUAACGGGAGAGGUAAAAUUCCAUGAUCGCUAUAAGAUGCACGAGAGCGAAAGCAUUUCACUCAAUUGCGUUCAUUAAUCAAGAACGAAAGUUAGGGGAUCGAAGACGAUCAGAUACCGUCGUAGUCCUAACUAUAAACGAUGUCAACCAAGGAUUGGAUUAGUUUUAGAACAACUGAGGUCAGGUAGCAUAGCUACAGGGCUGAGGGAGUUCGCUUCCACCUUAUUCAGAACUUAAAGAGAAAUCUUGAGUUUAUGGACUUCAGGGGGAGUAUGGUCACAAGGCUGAAACUUAAAGGAAUUGACGGAAGGGCACACCAGGAGUGGAGCCUGCGGCUUAAUUUGACUCAACACGGGAAAACUUACCAAGACCGAACAGUGUUAGGAAUGACAGAUUAAGGGUUCUUUCAUGAUUCAUUGGGUAGUGGUGCAUGGCCGUUCUUAGUUGGUGGAGUGAUUUGUCAGGUUAAUUCCGGUAACGAACGAGACUGAAGCCUAUUAAUUAGUUUCCCGCCUAUACGACGGGAAUGUCCGUAUGGAUGGAUGCAUUUGUAUCACUUCUUAAAGGGACUAAUAUCAAUUGUUUCUCGGUUAAUUUGUGAUACUAUUUCGAUAGUACCUUUUUAAUCGGAAAAAAAGAUAAUGGAAGCAUUCAGCAAUAACAGGUCUGUGAUGCCCUUAGACAUCUUGGGCUGCACGCGCGCUACAAUGGAGAUACUAGCGAGUAUUUGCCGGGGAUGCCCAUUUUGCUGGCUAUGUCAGUGGAGUGGGAUUUUCAACGGUGUACCGAGACUGAAAUAGUUUAGGAAAACUCAAAAGAUCGUACAUGACAGGGAUAAAUGAUUGGAAUUAUUUGUUUUGAACGAGGAAUUCCUUGUAAUAUCGAGUCACUAGCUCGAGAUGAAUACGUCCCUGCCCUUUGUACACACCGCCCGUCGCUCCUACCGAUUGGAUGUGGAGGUGAAAUUCUAGGACUCUGGCAUUAGUUGGGGAAAUGGAUUUAAAUCUCUUUAUCUAGAGGAAGGAGAAGUCGUAACAAGGUUUCCGUAGGUGAACCUGCAGAAGGAUCA